This 1274-nucleotide long non-coding RNA is filed under the name Dicentrarchus labrax (European seabass). RNAcentral describes it as "lncRNA (ENSDLAG00005029450.1)". Lineage: Eukaryota; Metazoa; Chordata; Actinopteri; Moronidae. The record is from RNAcentral.
CUUAUUACAAGUGAAAAUAAUACUGCAGUCUGAGUAUGAAAAAUAAAAGCACACACCAUUUUUUUAAUUGACUUUUAUUUUGAAACUCGGACGGUAGGGGCCGCCAGAGACCAGGAACUGCUUCAGAGUGGCACCUCUGAUUGGCUAACCCUAACUCUCACCUGACCAAUCAAAUCAUCGGAGGCAACGAACACUAGCCAAUCAGAGGUAGCGGAGGGCGGGUCUUAUGCGCGUGGGAAUGGAGGAUUGUUGGUAUUUUAUCUUUUAAAUAUUAUAAACUGACAUUGUUGGGGGGGGGGGGAAUCGAUUGAUGACAAAUAUAUCAAUGAUCCACUAAAGUCAGGAUCAAUAACAGAUCAAUAACUGUGGUUGUUUGUUGUCUUCGCCGCUGUUUUAAUAGUACGGGAGCCUGGAGGGACAACUGAGUGAGCUCCUCCUGGAGGGAGGAGGUCUAUCGCAGUGCAGGCCAGGCUCCUUUCUACAGAUUUGGAGACGUACUGAGGAGCUGCUCUCUCUCUCUCUCUCAACAGAUUCACCUUAAUGCCUCGAGGUCAACCUCUGUGUCAUGAACUGACUCUUCCUUCCCUGUCACAAUGCGUCGCCACAAAUCAAACCUCAAGAAGCGAAGGAAAGAGGACGCAGAGAGAAAGAGAAUAGCUCGCAUGACCGAGACGCCACAACAAACCGAGCUCCGUCAGGCCCUCGAUAGACAAAGGAAACGCCAACAAAUAGCAAACGAGACGCCAGAAGCUGCAAAGCGUCGCAGAGACUUUAACAAGGAGGCCAUGGCGAGGCACAGAGCCCGAGAAACACCAGAGGCUGCAGAACAUCGCCGACACGUGAACAAACUUGCCAAGGCACGCCACAGAGUGCAGCAAACGCCAGAGGAUGCAGAACGCCGUCGAGCCUCGCACAGACGAGCCAAGGCACGGCGGAGAGCACGAGAAACCCCAGAGGCUGCAGAACGUCGCAGACUCUCAAACAAAGCAGCCAUGGCACGGCGCAGAGCACGACAGAAAGCAGAGCUCUGGAUGGACCAGAUAACUGUGGUGAGAAUAGGUGACACACACAUUGCAGAGGAGCAGGUUAAAGACGACGCUGCAGAGUACUACGAGGAGGAGGAAGAGGAAGACGGUGUUUAUGUCAUUGAGUAUUCAAAUCCUGAAGAGGAGGAGGAGAGCUACCUGUUCACAGUGUCUGCGGACAGAAAGCCAGUAACUAACUCAUCCUGUGGUCGGAGUGAACGCCAGAGCUCCUCUACCUGCGAUGUCUAA